Non-coding RNA from Misgurnus anguillicaudatus (oriental weatherfish), 1409 nucleotides. The record is from RefSeq and is a predicted model, not a curated record. NCBI's taxonomy places the organism in Eukaryota, Metazoa, Chordata, Actinopteri, Cypriniformes, Cobitidae.
AAUGGACUUAGUGGGUCUUUGAAUUUAAAUAAAAUAAACAUGUAUAUGCAACACAAAAUAUUUAUAUUCCUUGUGUAAACAUAAUUUAAUUGAUUAGGAUUAAAAUGUUUUGUUUGAAUGUAAAAUGAACACAUUAUUCUCACAUUGAUUAAAAUUGAUUGAAUUGAAUACUUAAAACAAUAAAAUUGGGUUUGGACACAAAACGGCACCUCCUGAGCAGCAGGGGCAGUAUAGCUCAUUGAGAAGGACAUCGAUUGCCAUAAAAGAAGAAUAAAGAUCGUUUUUUUGGGCGCCAAAAUGAAGACUAAGCACAGCAGUCACUGCCAGUCAGUCAGAAGAACUCUCUCAGACGGACACCACGUUAUUAAAGUCCAUCAUCCUUGCAUGCGCUACACAGCAUUGAUAAAUGCUGAAUUUAAAAGAAUCACUACUGUCUAAUGUUCCUGCGUGUCACCUGGACCUCCAAUCCAAAAACCUGACGAAACUCUUCUAUCAGAAAGGAGGACAGCUAGCAAAAAGGCUUCAAACAAUCAAUGAUCAAAUGACAGAUGGCAUGGAUGAAGUCAGCAUCAGUGAGGUCAUUUGAAGACACCAAUGUUGGGAUUUGUGCUCUCAAACAACAUGCUUCUUGUGAUGAAGAAGAGGAUCUUUGUAUAGUCCUGGAAGGCAUGAAGGUGUUGCAACAUCGUGCCAUGUUGUUUGAGCUGAUGUAUGCCUUAAACCUGAGCUAUCCUGAUCUCCGCUUUAUUUUUGAGGAAAUCCAAAAGAUUUUAAUGGAACUGCAUUGAGAGUAACUUUAACGAACAGUUUCUUUCAGUGAAAGGAUCAGAAAGACUGUGCUGCUCAUUUUUGACUUUGUUUAUCUGUUUUAAGUGUUUUCUCUUAUUAAUACAUUAACCGUUUGCUGCUCAGAGUCGAUUUUGGAAAUGGUUGUUGUAUUUUGUUUUUGUUGAAUCUUUGAUUAACAGUUUAUACAAAUGCUGUAGCUCUGACUUUCUGAAGGAUUGAUAUUUUCCAGUUUGUAAAUCCAUUUUAAAAAUAAUAGUACUUACUGUUUUGCAUGUCUCUUUGGAAUGCAGUGUUUGUGUUUUAGCACUUCUAAAUCUACUGUGAUAGUAACUAUUUUAAACAUUUGGGUCAGUUUCAUCCUAAUAUAACUAGGGCCUAGUCAUGAAUUAAUCUACAACCUGUUUGGGAAAUUGCCCCUUUAUGUAUGUACUGCAUGUGCUGAUUGUUGUAAUAGUUAUUGACUGUUAUUGAAUUAAUGUGUAGUGAUUUAAAUGAAUUGAUGAUCUGAAAGCAGUGGUUUGCCUCAAUAUCACUAAACAUUUGUACAAAACUCUUCACUUUUUAUGCCAAUGCAAAUGUAUUUUGUAUUUAAAAAGAAAUAAAUAACAUUUGGAUAAUUA